GAGAGCAGUAGCAGUUUCAGCUUCUCUGAACUGACCAUAGCAGAGUUUCUUGUGGUUUUCUUGGAAAUAACCACUUCUGGGAUUUGUUGUUGUUCUUUGCAUCGCUAAAGUAGGAGCAGUUCCCCAGGAGAGGUUUUGGGGGAGGGCAUCAUGUGCCCCUUCUGCAGCUCAUCACUUGUAAGGUGAAAGGGACAUUUUGCCUCACAGUCUUCUGAUGGAUAAUAUUAAUCCUUGAAGAGCCAAAGGAAUUUGACUUUACGUAGACACCCUCAGGAAUUGUGAAUUGCUUUUCGGCUCCAGAGGCUGCUCUUCGGGUAGACGUCGGGGUGUCAGAGUGUGAUCUGGUGGCCCUGAUCCUCACACAGCAGGGACCGGAGAUGCUGCUCCUUCCGACUGUGCAAGACCUCAAACAGUUACUUUAGCUGUCGGAUUGGAUUUCUAAAACUAGCUGCAAACUUUGUCCCCCUGUAGCUGGGAAUUGAACUGGGAUGCUUCUUGCUUGUAAAAAACAGAACCACAAAGGCAAAUCAGUCUUGAUGCAUGUCUAGGUUUAUUUGAUCACGUCUUGCAUAGCUCAAUAAUAUCUAUUUUAAAUCAUUUAUGGAAGAUUACAUGUGCCAAUUUCUAAGCAUGUUUUGCAAUUCUAAUACACGCAAUAUAGCAUCUAAAUAAAGUAAGUUUGACUUUCCCUAUGAAACCUAAAAGAAACUAGCCUAACAUAGCAAAUAUCCCAUUCUUACCAAGAUUGCUCUUUUAGCAAGUACAGCAAAACACCUAUUUAUUCCGUAUAUAAAGACUUAUCUUUUUGGAUGUGAAAAGCACCCCUAACUUGCUCUGGUCCUUGAGAACUCAUGUCUACUUUACGUUCCCAAUCUUGCAAGUGCUGAGCCCCAUAUGCUGCCCCUGAAAUCAAUGAGAGUUGGAAGGUGCUCUGCACCACACGUAAUCAGGCCCUGAGAAAGAUCGGGCAUAAUCUCUAGAAAUCUGGAGAGAUUGUCCUUUCAGAUAAAGUUGCCUUUAAAAUGCUGAUAAACAUUACUUUGAAGCAGCAGCAUAGACAUGAGCUGGAUACAAAUCUAUGGAAAAUUGGCUGUGUUUUGAUCACAAUCUCUGAGAAGAAAUACUUAUCACUGAGUUAUUCAAAGAGAGGAAAUAGUGACAACAAACAAAAAUGCUGCAGCUCAGACAGCCCUGCAGCUUCAUAAGAAACAACGGCAUGUUUACUUUAGAGAGUCCCGUUCAUUUUAACAAACACAUCAAUACUUUGGCCCGGUCUAUUUUUAUUUUAUUUUUGUGCGGCUGUAGCUCUCUCAAUGUAGUUGCAAAGGGGGUAAAUCCCCAGUAGAUUCACUGCAAUGUAAAACAGGAUUUACACUAGUAAUUUACUGGUGCACAUCCCAUUUUCCACCACAACAAUAUGGCUAGAUGAGGGAUUUGUUGCAGUGUAAUCACAUCCAGGGCAGAUUUCUCUCUCCUAGACAAGCCCCCAGUCUUCUUGAACCUCUUUGUAUAGACAGGUGCUGAUUGGUCCUUGUGUAUUAUCAUUUUCAUUGCAAUUAGUAUUUUACUGUUUUCUACAGGCUGAGCAACUAUAAAUAGAUCUUCAUUGCUCAUGGCUUAUGGAAAGUCUUAUCACUGACUGCGUAUUCUGUUUAUACAACCACACUUACUAACACAUGCGUGUGGUUUGCUAUGCAAUAUUAACCAUGACGCAACAACAUUCUUCUGGCCUAGAACGGGGAUUUUAACUGAGCAAGAAUGGACCAUACUAUUAACUAUACAGUAAGGGCCUGAUCUGGCAUGCUACUGAGUACUUUCAAUGAUCCCUGCAGUCAAUAGAAGUGGAGGGUGCUCAGCACCUUGCAGGAAUGUGGAAUCCUAGUAGGAAUUUACAAGCUCUAUAUAAAUCAGCUUACCAAGUAUUUUCUUUCCCCCAACUAAAUCAAUGACUUUUAUUAGCAGAGCAGUCACCUUCCCCCCAAAUAACCCAUGGUCAACAAUUAACUCAUUCAAGCUGAAAAGUAGCCCAGAAGGGUCAGACACUUACCCGCCAGGCUGCAAUGCAAGCAAGUUUGCCCAUCAGACAUUUUGCAUUGUGCUAACACAUCCUUUGCAGCAAAGCAGAAACAUUUCUAUUAUCGGAGAGUGCCCACUGCACUUCCACUGAGCUCCAUGCUUAUUAGCAACACUUCCCUCAUGCCAAUUAAAUCCUAAACAUUGAGUCCAUUUCAAGUGUAAGUCAGUCUCCAGUUCAAUAACGCCAGUAAAAAAGUCUGUCUGCUUUUACUCGACAGCACUCUCAGAGGCCUCAAGAAAUGCACAUUAGAUUAAAUACAGAGCUGAACAAGAUCUUAAUUCAAUAAGAAAUACAGCAGCAACACUGUUUUCCUGUCUCUGGAUGACUGACCUCACAAAGGGUGAGAUAAUUUUUUGUAGGCUCUUGCAACAAGCCAUUUCAAAGUCUAG
This is a long non-coding RNA of Dermochelys coriacea (leatherback sea turtle), 2466 nucleotides long. RefSeq lists it as uncharacterized. The record is from RefSeq and is a predicted model, not a curated record. Lineage: Eukaryota; Metazoa; Chordata; Testudines; Dermochelyidae. The transcript is spliced from 3 exons.